GUCGGGGUGGCUCAGCCUGGUUAGAGCGCCUGACUCAUAAUCAGGAGGUCGCGGGUUCAGAUCCCGCUCCCGACA
This 75-nucleotide transfer RNA is filed under the name Thermoplasmata archaeon. RNAcentral's name for it is "tRNA-Met". It matches the Rfam family "tRNA". Rfam says of the family: Transfer RNA (tRNA) molecules are approximately 80 nucleotides in length. Their secondary structure includes four short double-helical elements and three loops (D, anti-codon, and T loops). Further hydrogen bonds mediate the characteristic L-shaped molecular structure. tRNAs have two regions of fundamental functional importance: the anti-codon, which is responsible for specific mRNA codon recognition, and the 3' end, to which the tRNAs corresponding amino acid is attached (by aminoacyl-tRNA synthetases). tRNAs cope with the degeneracy of the genetic code in two manners: having more than one tRNA (with a specific anti-codon) for a particular amino acid; and 'wobble' base-pairing, i.e. permitting non-standard base-pairing at the 3rd anti-codon position. The record is from RNAcentral. Lineage: Archaea; Methanobacteriati; Thermoplasmatota; Thermoplasmata. RNAcentral also lists the same sequence under 2 other names.